GAUGAAGAACGCAGCGAAAUGCGAUAAGUAAUGUGAAUUGCAGAAUUCAGUGAAUCAUCGAAUCUUUGAACGCACAUUGCGCCCCUUGGUAUUCCAUGGGGCAUGCCUGUUCGAGCGUCAUUUGUACCUUCAAGCUCUGCUUGGUGUUGGGUGUUUGUCUCGCCUCUGCGUGUAGACUCGCCUCAAAACAAUUGGCAGCCGGCGUAUUGAUUUCGGAGCGCAGUACAUCUCGCGCUUUGCACUCAUAACGACGACGUCCAAAAGUACAUUUUUACACUCUUGACCUCGGAUCAAGUAGGGAUACCCGCUGAACUUAAGCAUAUCAAUAAGCGGAGGA
RNAcentral lists this unclassified non-coding RNA (337 nucleotides) under soil metagenome. RNAcentral's name for it is "partial contains 5.8S ribosomal RNA, internal transcribed spacer 2, and large subunit ribosomal RNA". The stretch from base 1 to 120 matches the Rfam family "5.8S ribosomal RNA", at positions 35 to 154 of the family's 154-position model. The record is from RNAcentral.